RNAcentral lists this ribosomal RNA (500 nucleotides) under uncultured bacterium. RNAcentral describes it as "partial 16S ribosomal RNA". It matches the Rfam family "Bacterial small subunit ribosomal RNA", at positions 29 to 523 of the family's 1533-position model. The record is from RNAcentral.
AUUGAACGCUGGCGGCAUGCCUUACACAUGCAAGUCGAACGGCAGCACGGGAGCAAUCCUGGUGGCGAGUGGCGAACGGGUGAGUAAAGCAUCGGAACGUGCCCAGUCGUGGGGGAUAACGUAGCGAAAGCUACGCUAAUACCGCAUACGAUCUGUGGAUGAAAGCGGGGGACCGUAAGGCCUCGCGCGAUUGGAGCGGCCGACGUCGGAUUAGGUAGUUGGUGAGGUAAAGGCUCACCAAGCCGACGAUCUGUAGCUGGUCUGAGAGGAGGACCAGCCACACGGGGACUGAGACACGGCCCAGACUCCUACGGGAGGCAGCAGUGGGGAAUUUUGGACAAUGGGCGCAAGCCUGAUCCAGCAAUGCCGCGUGCAGGAUGAAGGCCUUCGGGUUGUAAACUGCUUUUGUACGGAGCGAAACGGCUUCCACUAAUACUGGGGGCUAAUGACGGUACCGUAAGAAUAAGCACCGGCUAACUACGUGCCAGCAGCCGCAGUAA